GGAUCCAGACUUUGAUUCUGGCUCAGGAUGAACGCUAGCUACAGGCUUAACACAUGCAAGUCGAGGGGAAACGAUAGAGAAAGCUUGCUUUUUCUAGGCGUCGACCGGCGCACGGGUGAGUAACGCGUAUCCAACCUGCCCAUCACUUGGGGAUAACCUUGCGAAAGUAAGACUAAUACCCAAUGAGGUCUCUAGAAGACAUCUGAAAGAGAUUAAAGAUUUAUCGGUGAUGGAUGGGGAUGCGUCUGAUUAGCUUGUUGGCGGGGUAACGGCCCACCAAGGCGACGAUCAGUAGGGGUUCUGAGAGGAAGGUCCCCCACAUUGGAACUGAGACACGGUCCAAACUCCUACGGGAGGCAGCAGUGAGGAAUAUUGGUCAAUGGACGAGAGUCUGAACCAGCCAAGUAGCGUGCAGGAAGACGGCCCUAUGGGUUGUAAACUGCUUUUAUAAGGGAAUAAAGUGAGUCUCGUGAGACUUUUUGCAUGUACCUUAUGAAUAAGGACCGGCUAAUUCCGUGCCAGCAGCCGCGGUAAUACGGAAGGUCCGGGCGUUAUCCGGAUUUAUUGGGUUUAAAGGGAGCGUAGGCCGGAGAUUAAGCGUGUUGUGAAAUGUAGACGCUCAACGUCUGCACUGCAGCGCGAACUGGUUUCCUUGAGUACGCACAAAGUGGGCGGAAUUCGUGGUGUAGCGGUGAAAUGCUUAGAUAUCACGAAGAACUCCGAUUGCGAAGGCAGCUCACUGGAGCGCAACUGACGCUGAAGCUCGAAAGUGCGGGUAUCGAACAGGAUUAGAUACCCUGGUAGUCCGCACGGUAAACGAUGGAUGCCCGCUGUUGGUCUGAAUAGGUCAGCGGCCAAGCGAAAGCAUUAAGCA
RNAcentral lists this ribosomal RNA (874 nucleotides) under uncultured Bacteroidota bacterium. Its description in RNAcentral is "bacterial SSU rRNA". It matches the Rfam family "Bacterial small subunit ribosomal RNA", at positions 1 to 866 of the family's 1533-position model. The record is from RNAcentral. Lineage: Bacteria; Pseudomonadati; Bacteroidota.